Molecule: small nuclear RNA, 67 nt
Filed under: Sus scrofa (pig)
Lineage: Eukaryota; Metazoa; Chordata; Mammalia; Artiodactyla; Suidae
Description: U1 spliceosomal RNA (ENSSSCG00005000231.1)
Rfam family: U1 spliceosomal RNA
About the family: U1 is a small nuclear RNA (snRNA) component of the spliceosome (involved in pre-mRNA splicing). Its 5' end forms complementary base pairs with the 5' splice junction, thus defining the 5' donor site of an intron.
Source: RNAcentral
AUACUUAACUGGCAGGGAGAUACCAUAAUCACAAAGGUGGUUUUGCCAGGGCGAGGCUUGUCCACUG